Molecule: long non-coding RNA, 335 nt
Filed under: Homo sapiens (human)
Lineage: Eukaryota; Metazoa; Chordata; Mammalia; Primates; Hominidae
Description: HSALNT0385447
Source: RNAcentral
ACCCCACUUGAAGAGGUGGAGUGCCCAGUGGCGGAUACAGGCCCCACACAUCGCAGCAGUAAACAGGUAAGGCGCUCCCUGGCCCAUGCCUGUUUCCUGGAAACUGAAGCCAUGCCCAGGCUGGGAGUCACCAUUCCAGAAACAGAAUAAGCUGUUGGGCUGGCUACCUCACCCAGCACCCGGCCACGCCAGAGAGAAUCUUGGAUGCUGCUUUCCCACAGGCUGUAGUGCCUUCCAAGUUAGGCCACCCUAAUAACAGUUCUCCCACAGGGACUCCACGGUGUCCAGCUCUCCAGCCUGGGGUUUCUCAUCACCCAGUGAUUCCAAAAGAAACG